RNAcentral lists this long non-coding RNA (1135 nucleotides) under Olea europaea subsp. europaea. Lineage: Eukaryota; Viridiplantae; Streptophyta; Magnoliopsida; Lamiales; Oleaceae. The record is from RNAcentral.
AAUAUCUCUCCACUUUCUCUCUCUCCAUUCACUCUAAUUCUCUUUCUCCCCAAUAAUCUUGUGAAUAUAUUCAUCCAAAUUUCCACUCUCCAAUCUCUCCAAUGACAAUGAAGAGGUGGUAGAAUAGGUAGAGGGCAAACACCCCUUUGGAAACAGUUUGCAGGCAGCACAAGAAGGGAAAGAUGAACACCCGAUGAAUUGGGAAGCUGAGUAGGUUUCGGAGCUUGCGGCCCGUGCAAAAUAAUUGGAUCCAACGGAGGAAAAGGCAGACCGACAGCAAUACAAGACCCCAAUCACAGGCAAACAGAGGCAAUCGUCUCCCAUUCAAUUGAUGGUUCCUACAUUGUUCAAUCAACAAAUUCACAUGGAGAAAAUCAAAUCACACUUAGAUGACAGUGGGUACACAUUUUAUUGAUCCAAUUGCUACUCAAUUGCCUCAAUUUUGAUCCCCAAAGUCACGAUUGGGACGGUUCAAUCAAUUGCAAUUUGUGGCAAAAAAUGGUGGUGGUGUUUCUAGUGGUUGUGGUUUUAGGUUGCAAGAUGGACCCAUUUUUUUCUCUGUUCUCUAUUCUUUGUGGAUUUGAGGUGGUGGCAACGAGUUUUGAGGUUUUUGGUUAGGUUGUGGUUGUAGUGGAGAUGGAGGUUGUGAUUGUUGGUGGUUGUGGUGAGGAAUUGGUCUUUGUCCUUUGUGGAUUUGAGGUGGUAGCGAUGGCGAGUUUGGGUUUUUUUGUUGGGGUGGUGUUUGUGGUAGAGAUGGAGGUUGUAAUGUUGGUGGUUGUUUUAUGGUGGUUUGUAGUGGAUUUAAAGGUGGUAGUUAUGGGUCACAUAUCAAUGUUCAUGGGUUACAUGUUAAGCCCCUUUUUGGUUUCUAUUCUUUUUUCAUUAAAAUGAAAAAUAUCACCAUUAUUCAUUACAUCUAGCCACAAAAUUUAAAUUUCUAUCUCUUGUGUGGAACCCAUAGGGAUUAUAUUUUUCAUUAUCAUUCUCCCAAAAAUGAGUAACAAACGGGAGCUCAAUAAAAUUGAUCACAAAUCGCUGAUUUAUGUUCAUAGGUUAAUAUUAAUUGGUCACAUGUUAUAGUUCAUAAGUUACAAGUCAUAGGUCAUUAUUAAUUGAUCACGAGUUAUUGUUCAUG